CCCCUACGGGAGGCAGCAGUGGGGAAUUUUGGACAAUGGGGGCAAACCCUGAUCCAGCCAUGCCGCGUGUCUGAAGAAGGCCUUCGGGUUGUAAAGGACUUUUGUUAGGGAAGAAAAGGGAAGUGCUAAUACCACUUUUUGCUGACGGUACCUAAAGAAUAAGCACCGGCUAACUACGUGCCAGCAGCCGCGGUAAUGGGG
This 201-nucleotide ribosomal RNA is filed under the name uncultured bacterium. RNAcentral describes it as "partial 16S ribosomal RNA". It matches the Rfam family "Bacterial small subunit ribosomal RNA", at positions 336 to 528 of the family's 1533-position model. The record is from RNAcentral.